AUCCAGCUGACGAGUCCCAGAUAGAACAAAACGCUUGUCCUAGAU
Non-coding RNA from Schistosoma mattheei, 45 nucleotides. Lineage: Eukaryota; Metazoa; Platyhelminthes; Trematoda; Strigeidida; Schistosomatidae. The record is from Rfam.